UUUCCCUUCUUAGUGUUCCCUUUCGUCGGAACAAGGAUAAACAGCACACAAACCACCCACUAACCACCAAGUUAACUGGGAGUGGGGGUGGUCUUUCCUAUCUUGAUUGGAACUGCCGAUAGUAUUUCUGUGCAGUAUUCAUUGUGGUCGGUGAAGCCCAGGUAAACGCAUUAUAGUUGCAAAGCUGGAACAUGGAAAUAUUGUUUAUUAAAUCAAGCGGAAGGAAAUUACAUGUUUUAGAUCUGCUUGCAAGUAUCGUUUGGAAAGUUUGAUUAAAAUGGGCUGUUCAGGGUAAUUUCAAAUACGCAACUAGAGAUGGAUUUGUUUUAUUUGGUGCUUAUUGGGGCACAUAAUCCGGUUGUUAUGAAAAAUGGUAAUCCGGAGUGGAGAUAUGUGAAACUAUUGAUCAUUGAAGCGGAAGUUAACUAACAAA
Hermetia illucens (black soldier fly) is the source of this 433-nucleotide long non-coding RNA. RefSeq lists it as uncharacterized. The transcript has 3 exons. The record is from RefSeq and is a predicted model, not a curated record. Lineage: Eukaryota; Metazoa; Arthropoda; Insecta; Diptera; Stratiomyidae.